This 468-nucleotide ribosomal RNA is filed under the name uncultured bacterium. RNAcentral describes it as "partial 16S ribosomal RNA". It matches the Rfam family "Bacterial small subunit ribosomal RNA", at positions 28 to 507 of the family's 1533-position model. The record is from RNAcentral.
GACGAACGCUGGCGGCGUGCUUAACACAUGCAAGUCGAACGGUGAAGCUCCAGCUUGCUGGAGUGGAUCAGUGGCGAACGGGUGAGUAACACGUGAGCAACCUGCCCCUGACUCUGGAAUAAGCGCUGGAAACGGCGUCUAAUACUGGAUACGAGAAGGGUCCGCAUGGGCACUUUCUGGAAAGUUUUUCGGUUGGGGAUGGGCUCGCGGCCUAUCAGCUUGUUGGUGAGGUAAUGGCUCACCAAGGCGACGACGGGUAGCCGGCCUGAGAGGGCGACCGGCCACCCUGGGCCUGAGACACGGCCCAGACUCCUACGGGAGGCAGCAGUGGGGAAUAUUGCACAAUGGGCGCAAGCCUGAUGCAGCGACGCCGCGUGCGGGAUGACGGCCUUCGGGUUGUAAACCUCUUUCAGCAGGGAAGAAGCGAAAGUGACGGUACCUGCAGAAGAAGCACCGGCUAACUACGUG